AGAGUUUGAUCAUGGCUCAGGAUAAACGCUGGCGGCGUGCUUCAGGCAUGCAAGUCGAACGGACUACCGGCUUCGGCCGGUCGUUAGUGGCGGACGGGUGAGUAACACGUAAGCAACCUGCCCGGAAGUGGGGAAUAACUGGCCGAAAGGCCGGCUAAUACCGCAUGUGAAGGUCUUCCGCAGGGAGGACUUUGAAAGGCGAAAGCCGCUUCCGGAGGGGCUUGCGGCCGAUUAGCUUGUUGGUGGGGUAACGGCCUACCAAGGCAACGAUCGGUAGCUGGUCUGAGAGGACGGUCAGCCACACGGGGACUGAGAUACGGCCCCGACUCCUACGGGAGGCAGCAGCUAGGAAUCUUGGGAAUGCGCGAAAGCGUGACCCAGCAACGCCGCGUGGGCGAUGAAGGCCUUCGGGUCGUAAAGCCCUUUUGCAGGGGAAGAUUGUGACGGUACCUUGCGAAUAAGCCACGGCUAACUACGUGCCAGCAGCCGCGGUAAUACGUAGGUGGCAAGCGUUGUCCGGAUUUACUGGGCGUAAAGGGCGUGCAGGCGGUCUGUUAAGUUCAGGGUGAAAGCUCCCGGCUCAACUGGGAGAGGUCCUUGGAUACUGGCAGACUUGAGGGAGGUAGAGGAGAGUGGAAUUCCCGGUGUAGUGGUGAUAUGCGUAGAUAUCGGGAGGAACACCAGUGGCGAAGGCGGCUCUCUGGGCCUUUCCUGACGCUGAGACGCGAAAGCGUGGGGAGCGAACCGGAUUAGAUACCCUAGUAGUCC
RNAcentral lists this ribosomal RNA (768 nucleotides) under uncultured bacterium. RNAcentral's name for it is "bacterial SSU rRNA". It matches the Rfam family "Bacterial small subunit ribosomal RNA", at positions 8 to 796 of the family's 1533-position model. The record is from RNAcentral.